RNAcentral lists this transfer RNA (74 nucleotides) under Candidatus Thorarchaeota archaeon. Its description in RNAcentral is "tRNA-Gly". It matches the Rfam family "tRNA". Rfam says of the family: Transfer RNA (tRNA) molecules are approximately 80 nucleotides in length. Their secondary structure includes four short double-helical elements and three loops (D, anti-codon, and T loops). Further hydrogen bonds mediate the characteristic L-shaped molecular structure. tRNAs have two regions of fundamental functional importance: the anti-codon, which is responsible for specific mRNA codon recognition, and the 3' end, to which the tRNAs corresponding amino acid is attached (by aminoacyl-tRNA synthetases). tRNAs cope with the degeneracy of the genetic code in two manners: having more than one tRNA (with a specific anti-codon) for a particular amino acid; and 'wobble' base-pairing, i.e. permitting non-standard base-pairing at the 3rd anti-codon position. The record is from RNAcentral. Lineage: Archaea; Promethearchaeati; Candidatus Thorarchaeota.
GCAGGCGUAGUAUAAUGGUAUCAUACAACGUUGCCAUCGUUGUGACGCGAGUUCGAUUCUCGCCGUCUGCUCCA